GGAAUGGGCAUUGUAGCAAUGUCACAGUUCUUAAUAUAAUAGUAGUGUAUCCACUUGAUCUAUAAACAAUCUUUCUUCCUAGCCAAAUCUCACAGUAGCUUGGUGAUAGCAGCCGUAUUCCAUAUCUGCAUGUUUAUAAUGUUGAGGCCUCCAGCAGUGAUAGGUCUACAGAUCUUUUCCCAUGCUACCAGAGCUCUUUUGGAUAUUGUUGCACUUCCAGUCCACAGAUAAGAUCUG
This 237-nucleotide long non-coding RNA is filed under the name Nicotiana benthamiana. RNAcentral's name for it is "long non-coding RNA (NBEN_LNC001031)". The record is from RNAcentral. Lineage: Eukaryota; Viridiplantae; Streptophyta; Magnoliopsida; Solanales; Solanaceae.